Molecule: ribosomal RNA, 467 nt
Filed under: uncultured bacterium
Lineage: Bacteria
Description: partial 16S ribosomal RNA
Rfam family: Bacterial small subunit ribosomal RNA
Source: RNAcentral
GACGAACGCUGGCGGCGUGCUUAACACAUGCAAGUCGAACGGAAAGGCCUCUUUCGGGGGGUACUCGAGUGGCGAACGGGUGAGUAACACGUGAGUAACCUGCCCUUGACUUUGGGAUAACUUCAGGAAACUGGGGCUAAUACCGGAUAGGAGCUCCUGCUGCAUGGUGGGGGUUGGAAAGUUUCGGCGGUUGGGGAUGGACUCGCGGCUUAUCAGCUUGUUGGUGGGGUAGUGGCUUACCAAGGCUUUGACGGGUAGCCGGCCUGAGAGGGUGAGCGGCCACAUUGGGACUGAGAUACGGCCCAGACGCCUACGGGAGGCAGCAGUGGGGAAUAUUGCACAAUGGGUGGAAGCCUGAUGCAGCAACGCCGUGUGCGGGAUGACGGCCUUCGGGUUGUAAACCGCUUUCGCUCAUGACGAAGCUUUGUGUGACGGUAGUGGGUAAAGAAGCACCGGCUAACUACGUG